AAUACAAUACAAAACAUUGAGAAACUAUAAUUUAACAACAAAACAAGUUUUGGAUUACUGGACAGUAACACGCAAAGACAGCUGAACACUGAAAGACUGUGGUAGAUAAGCUAUUGUUCAAAGCUCUAGCCCAUGGGAUUAGAAGGCCAUGACUUAGUGAAGAUAAUAAACUACUGCAGUUUAACACAAUCCUCAAGGGGAAGUGAUCUGGCAUUACUGAAAUACUUGGAGCAAUUCCUCUGUAUGGCAGCUGUGGCCCGCACCUUUAUAUAUAUCGGACAUAAUGGUGAGCCAGGUAGGAUGACCAUGACCUUAAAUAGAUCAAUUUAUAUUUGCUGUUUGAGACAGUCUUACUGGCACUAGUAUUUAAGCAUAGAGAACAGAAUACCUAAAGAAACAGCCAGGAUCUGAAAGGAAGAGGCAGUACCUAUUCCCCCUCCGAGGUCCUGCCUGUAUCAUGGAACUAGAGAAUUCCUAAAACCCUCAGAAAUCUUAGAGGAAUCAUUAUUAGUAGGCUAAGAAAUUUGAAUCCAGGGCAAACAUUUGAAGCUUUUGUAAAGUCCCACCUCUUGGAAACAUGUAAUGACCAAUGACUUCCACUUCAUUAAGAAGCAAAGAAGUUCCUAGGUUCGUGAUUACAGACAGAGCCUGAAAACACGAAGGAAAACAAAUCCCCAUACCCCCCGAGGGGUCUGAUACAAUUAUAAGAACUGAUUCAUGGCUUUUAAAUGCUUGAAGGUAAUAAUAACACUAAUCAUCAUCAUCAUCAUCUUAACCAGCCUUUAUUUCUCAGAUUAAAUAAGCACACAAACUCAGAGCCUGGGGAUUAAACAAGUGUUACUGCAUCCAUGGCUGGUGUUAGAGACUUUUGAAAGGCAAGGGUGACAGCCAAGUACAUGGCAGAAGUGACAUAGGAACUUACACAAGAUUCUGAAUUACUGGGUAGCCAUUAGUUAAAUAAAGCUUUAUGCAGUUUGCGCUGCAUGCAAGGGCUCAGUUGCAAGUGUUUCCCAAAUUCUGGUGGGUUUUUUUUGACAAUUACACAUUUCAUUCCUCUUAGUUUCAUGGAACAUAGAGAAGACCUCAAUACUGCAGAUCUGAAUGUACCUGAAAAGCUUAGCUCCCACUCCCCAAAACACACAAAGUAUACAUUUUGUAUCAUUUUUUUUUUUUUUUCUUGUAGAAAUCAGCAGCAUUUGCACUGUACUUCAGAGCAGUGCUUGCUUGGAGACAUUGGGAAAUGCUUUCUGAACUUUACUGUGGCUGACUUAGUGUCAGCAGUUCUAAUGAAGUGACACCCUGUGUCUUCCUACAACUUUUCCAUGUAGGUAGAAUAUCACCUUCAGAAACAGAUCUUUCUGAUUUACUAGAAAGCAUUUACCAUUGUAUUGGCUGUUGAAAACUAUUCCAGGCGUGCCAUUCCUGCCCACUGAGUAUCAUGGCGAAUCAUUUUAUAAUGUCACCAUUCAGUUAGUAAAACCUAGACUGUAGCUUGACUGAAGGAUUUGAAAUAAAAUGACCUGCUAGUUCCCAGUCAUAAAUCACAGCUGCAGGUGCUUAAGACUGAAACCUGAUCCUGAAACCUGAGCAGUGUCAAUACACAGCCUGAACCUACAAACAAAGCUCUGUGCUGCUUAACAAAAACACAAAUUGUUUUUUGUUGUUUUUUUUUUUUGUUUUGUUUUGGGUUUUUUUUUUUUUUGGUGUUUGGUUGGUUGUUUUUAUUUUCUUUUUUUUAGGAUGGGAGGGGGAAUUCAGAAAAUUGCAACUAGAGUUACAAGUAUCUAACCUGUAUUCAUCCUCUCAUUUUUGAAAGUACUUUUGGUAUAAUGACACUGAAAAUCAUCUACUUCAGUUGGGUAGUUGCUUUUCAAAGUAAUGAAUGAGUGAAAAUGAACAGCAUGCAAGUUAGCUAAGGUAAAAAAAAAAAACAAACCAAACUACAUUUCCGUCUAUAUUGACAGAUAAAAAUUAAGUUUAGCUUCCACCACACCAGAGGUCUUUGAGGGUUAUCUGGUUGAAAAGCAGAAUUUUGACAAAACACUACAUUUGGACUGGCACCGCCUUAAAGUCUACCAUUAGAACUGAACAAAUUCAUUAAGAUUUUACCCUGCAUGAACAUUUUCCUCAGUUCUUCAUGUUGGCUUAUUGGGAUCGGCAUGACAACUUUCUAUUUAUCGCUGAUGUUGGAAAGGCAUGUUCAACUUUUAUUAUCUCAAAGGAAAUUAGAUUUAGAAAAGUAGCACAAAUUAAAUGUUUAAUAAAACAGCUUACUUGUUAUUUUCAUAGGACUGUUGUUUCUACAGCUGUAUCACUAAUACAAUGUGCUUCAGAGACCUCAGAGUUCCUGAAGAUAAAGCCAACGUUGAUGACAUGCAGUAGCAGCUGUCACAGAAGAUAUGCUCUGUAUGUAUUCCAAGAUAACACACACUACUCCCCAAGCUCUCAUCCUGUUGCUGAAGAAUAUGCUCAAAAAGGAUGUUACAACUCUUCAAUACAGGAAGAAAAGACACACAUCGGAAGAGUUAAUACUUCUGUUUGCGAGUCCCAAAUACAGUGGUCUGAACUCUACCCGAUGUGACAUUCUAGCGGCUGAGAUCCUUGAAAUAUUUGAGACUGACAGACCAGUCUCUUCCAAGAUAUGAGCAAAAUAAAACACCAGCUAAUUGUAAGCCAAACUGUGAGUCUAAAAAUAAACUGUUGGAAAAGA
Tyto alba (common barn owl) is the source of this 2710-nucleotide long non-coding RNA. RefSeq lists it as uncharacterized. The record is from RefSeq and is a predicted model, not a curated record. Lineage: Eukaryota; Metazoa; Chordata; Aves; Strigiformes; Tytonidae. The transcript is spliced from 2 exons.